RNAcentral lists this ribosomal RNA (497 nucleotides) under uncultured bacterium. Its description in RNAcentral is "partial 16S ribosomal RNA". It matches the Rfam family "Bacterial small subunit ribosomal RNA", at positions 28 to 507 of the family's 1533-position model. The record is from RNAcentral.
GAUGAACGCUGGCGGCGUGCCUAAUACAUGCAAGUCGAGCGAACGGACGAGGAGCUUGCGUUUCUGAUGUUAGCGGCGGACGGGUGAGUAACACGUGUAUAACCUACCUAUAAGACUGGGAUAACUUCGGGAAACCGGAUCUAAUACCGUAGAAGAUUUUGAAGCGCAUGGUUCAAAGGUGAAAUACGGUCGUUCUGUCACUUAUAGAUGCAUCCGCGCUGGAUUAGGUAGUUGUUAAGGUAACGGCUUACCAAGGCAACGAUGCAUAGCCGAACUGAGAGGGUGAUCGGCCACCCUGGAACUGAGACACGGUCCAGACUCCUACGGGAGGCAGCAGUAGGGAAUCUUACGCAAUGGGCGAAAGUCUGACGGAGCAACGCCGAGUGAGAGAUGACGGUCUUCGGAUCGUAAAACUCUGUUAUUAGGGAAGAACAUAUGUGUAAGUAAAUGUGCAGAGAUUGACGGUAACUAGUAAGAAAGCAACGGCUAACUACGUG